Molecule: long non-coding RNA, 588 nt
Organism: Dicentrarchus labrax (European seabass)
Lineage: Eukaryota; Metazoa; Chordata; Actinopteri; Moronidae
Exons: 2
Source: RefSeq, a predicted model, not a curated record
ACUAGUUAUAUUGUUAUAUUUAUAUUGUCAUAUUGUUUUACUGUUUAAUUUUUCUGAACCACACAUUCAACAUUGAAAAAUUAUAACUGAUCACAUUGUUCCUUAUUCUCCUCUCCUCCCUUCCUCUCUCUUUCUGCACUCAUUCAUGUCCCAUUAAUGCAUGUUACUAACUUCACUUCUUCCCCGGAGUUCUUGUGCUUUCUCGUCUCGCAGGUUCUCAUGGAUCCUGGUGGAGCCUCCUGCCAUGGUCCUGCUAGAUUGCCAUUGCCAAUACUGUUGUUACUGUGCACCUGUCUGUCUCUCGCUCUCUCUCUCUCUGUCUGUCUCUCUCUCUCUCUCUCUCUCUCACCCCAACUGGUCGAGACAGACGACCACCCACCUAGAGCCGAAGGAUCUGUCCUAGGUUUCUGCCUUUUAACAGGCAGUUUUUCCUUGCCCUUGUCGCCAAGUGCUUGCUCAUGGUGGUACUGUUGGGUCUAUGUGGUUGAUGUUGGGGAGUUCGGUCUAGACCUGCUCUAUUUGAAAAGUGUCCUGAGAUAACUUCUGUUAUGAAUUGGCGCUAUACAAAUAAAAUUGAAUUGAAUUGAA